AUUUCUGUAGUGUAGUGGUUAGCACAUUUGUCUAACAUGUAAAAGGUCUCUGCUUCAAAACCAGGCAGGAACA
Molecule: transfer RNA, 73 nt
Filed under: Merops nubicus (carmine bee-eater)
Lineage: Eukaryota; Metazoa; Chordata; Aves; Coraciiformes; Meropidae
Rfam family: tRNA
About the family: Transfer RNA (tRNA) molecules are approximately 80 nucleotides in length.
Source: Rfam by way of RNAcentral